Gallus gallus (chicken) is the source of this 3208-nucleotide long non-coding RNA. NCBI's taxonomy places the organism in Eukaryota, Metazoa, Chordata, Aves, Galliformes, Phasianidae. The record is from Ensembl.
AGCUCGCGCGGGGGGCGUCUCUCCCGCAACGUCUUUUGGUUGUCCAACUCCCCAGGCUUGGCGCUCCCCGCUCCGACCUCCCCGGGCACACACUGAUGAGGUGCAGGACACAGCCAGAGAAGUGUACAGGCCUUCUGGUUCCCAUAUUGGUUUCUCACCAAACCACUUUGAUCCCUACCUUUUCCCCACCUCUGGUCCUUCUCCACAACAUCCCACAAUGCUGCGUGUCCAACCUUUUGGCUCACCUGGGCCACACUGAGUGAAGAAGAGUUGCCUUGGGCCGCAUUUAGAGAUGGUGUGAUGCUGUUUCCUUGCUGCUGAGCAAUAGGUGCAUGCCCACAUGUAGCCCAUGGGUUGGGCAUGCCUGUGGUCCUCACACGUUCUUCCAUGACAUCCCAUGAUGAGUUUCAUAUGCUUGUAGUUGUAGGUGCUCCAGAGAGCUUCUCCCAUGGACUUGAUGGGCUGAUGACUCUCCUACAGCAGCCUGCGAGGAGCUAAAGUUAAGGUGGUGGAGUUAUUGGAGUUGUUCAGUGGUUCUUCUGUGCUUCUUUGGUUUUGUGCUGAUGAACUUUUCCCCGAUGGUGGUGCAAGAGGCUGAUGUCUGCUUCUCUGUGGUGCUUGUAUGAGGGCUGGUCCAAAAGUAACGCUUCCUAUUUUAUUAUGCCGACCCACGACAUCAGAGGUGAAUGAUCAUAGUAUGGCAGUAGAGGCUGAACCUUCUCACCAAUAUUCCAUUACAUUUUGUUGCCAUGUGAUGACGGAGUCUGACAUGAAGCAAAGGUGUGUUACCGAAUUCCUCCACACAGAAAAAAAAAUGGCACUUACUGAUAUUUAUCAAUGCACGCUGAACAUUUAUGGAGACCAAACAGUGGAUGUGAGCACAGCGAGGCAGUGAGUGGUGCAUUUCAGCAGUGACAAGAGCAAUAUGAAAGACAAGCCAAAUUUGAAUGGGCAUGCAGAUUUUUAUGAGCACAGCAUACAGGUUCUUGUUCAAUGCAUUGAUAAUGGUGCACUUACACUAAUGCAUGCAGCGUGGGCAACAAACAGGAGGAGCUCGAAGCCAUGGUGUGACGGGAGUACUAUGACUUAGUCGUCAUCACUGAAAAGAUUCUCAUGACUGGAGUGCUGCAAUGGAUGGCUAUAAGCUCUUUAGGAGAUAUAGGCAAGGAAGGAGGGAUGGUGGGAUGACUCUCUAUGUGUUUUGAUGUUGUAGAGCUCAGUGCUGGGGGUGAUAAUAUUGAGUCCUUAUGGGUAAGGAUCAGAAGGAAGGCCAACAAAGCCAACAUCCUGGUGGAAGUCUGUUAUAGACCUUCUAGCCAGGAUGAAGGGACAGAUGAAGCAUCCUAUCAGCAGCUGUCCAAAGAAGGGCUUCAAAGCUGCUGAAGGGUCUGGAGCACAAGUCUUGAAAGGAGCGGCUGAGGGAACUGGGGUUGUUCAGUCUGGAGAAGAGGAGGCUCAGGGGAGACCUUAUCACUCCCUACAGUGACGUGCAAUGGGGUUGUAACAAGGUGGGGUUGGCCUAUUCUCCCAGGUAACUAUCAAUAGGACAAGAGGUAAUGACUUAAAGUUGCACCAGGGGAGGUUUAGGUUGGAUAUUAGGAAAAAUUGUUGUGAGAAAGAGUGAUGAUGCAUUUCCCAGGGAGGUGGUGGAAUCACUGUCCCUGAAGGUGUUCCAGAACCAUGUGGAUGUGGUUUAGUGGGCAUGGUGGGGAUAGGUAGAUAAUUGAACUUGAUGAUGAGUUCUUAUCCAACCUUAAGAAUUUAUGAUUCUGUGGCAGUGACUAUGUUGAAAAAUAGCACUGUAGCUGCGAAUUUGCUCUAUCAAAUAGUGUCAUUGUGCUCUUUAUAUCUGUUGUAGUUUCUAUGAAAAUAAAUAGAAGGCCUUACUUUCGAAGCGACCUAUGUAGAUAGGAAAGGAUGAAAUAAUCAGAAAAAAAGACUUCUCUGUUGAUAAAAUCCUCCCAUCUGAUCAUCUUCACCAGUCAGGGAGACACUGAGCAGGAGGUCCCAAGGUGGGACAUCAGCAUAGAUGGAGCUUUGGAUUCACCCAGAAGGACUGUUCAUGUCCUCCAGUCAGUAAUCACUCUUUGCUGGAGUGCUGCUUGUAGCGUACUGCUGUUAGGAUGCUGCAUAGUCAGCAGAUGAUACUGUGUAGGUGUUUAUAGUUUCCUGGUAAACAUACCCACUCCAUCUAUAUUGCUCUAAUUACAAACAUGGAGAGUAUAAUACUAAAUGUUAGAUAAGCACGUUGUGUACAUUUUAACAGCAUACCAUAGCUGAUCCCUUUGGCAAAUCCAGGGUAAUUUUCAAGUACAGUUGUGACCUUGUUUCUUGUAGCAUCUCUGGCACUGCGCUUUGCUGCAAACAGAACAAAUCCCUUCUACUUAGAGAGGAACUCCACACAACAGAAUUUCCAAAACAUUAAUUUUUAUGCUGUCUUAAUUGCACCACUAGCAAUUCCAGUAAAGAGAAGCAAUACAUUACAGUAAUGUUGACAGCUACCCUGAAAACACCUGUCCAUGGGGAGAUUUAAUGAAGCACCUGUACUCUUGGCAUUUCUGCUUCCUCAAGAAUAAAAAAUAUUUUGCAUUCCAUCAGAUAGAGAGAGGGCUUUUGCUGCUGUUUGUUUAUUUUGCUACAAAUAAACAGACCUGUUUGUAGCAUUAUUCAGCAAUAAAGAAUAAACUGCUCAGUUCCUCAGAGGAUGGAACCCAUGUUCACAUUCUCCUGGUCACUUCAAGCCAGCUUGGCCCUGGAACAGCACAGAGUGUUUGCAGGUGUCCCCGAGAGGUUACACUGCAACCAGGAACCGUGGGAGCACAACAGAACUGUGACAAUGCGCCUUGCUUAUGAAUGUGCUUUCAUACAAUAGGCCAUAAAGAAAGGGAAGUAAUCUACACUCCCAUAGAGGAUUUAUCUGCAAGCAAUUAAUUUCAAGUUAGUCAAUCAAAGUGAUAAGGAGCGUGUGCCAGUGAUUUGGCCUCCUUUACCAGUUUUUUCCUUCUUUGUUUCUUUCUUUCUUUUUUUAAUUAAGUAAGCUAUUACAUUUGUUAGGAGAAAAUUCAUUUUCUAUAAAUAGCUACAAAAUUAUUUGCCUUCUCAGAGAUUGGAUUUUAAGUCUUUUUUUUAACGUCGUUCAGUUUUUAUAUACAAAGUAAUACAAUACACGUAUCCGUGCUCUUAUCAGUUGUGUAGGAUUUUCUAUUAU